RNAcentral lists this long non-coding RNA (514 nucleotides) under Gallus gallus (chicken). The record is from RNAcentral. Lineage: Eukaryota; Metazoa; Chordata; Aves; Galliformes; Phasianidae.
GUGUUGUCGGAGAGAAGGACAGAUAUUCAAAGCGAUCCUUGCAGAGCUGGACCAUGAGAUGAAGAAACACAAGCCCAGAGAACCAGAGGCACCACAUGACCACUUCUUCCACUGUCUGAACAUUCAGCACACCAAAAAUGAAGAUGAACUUGUAAAAGAUGAAAUUCCAGAACUUAUCCUUAAGAUGCUGCCUCUCGCUGACGCGCAGCGGGCCGAACACCACACGCUGGAUCAGCUUAGCGACCAGCAUCAGCACGCAGCACGCCGUGUUCACGAGCACCCAGACGCAGAGGCUGUCGGACAGCAGGUAGUACGCGACGUCCAGGGCCCGCGGCCCGCCCGCCCGCUGCUCGCCGGCCGCGCUGAGGGCGCGCUGGGCGCUGAGGGCGGCGGCCAGCAGGGCCAGGCCGCUGAGCGCCGCGUACGUGCGCAGGCUGGGCCAGGGGAAGCGCUCCAGGAACAGCAACGGCAUCGCGGAGCCCCGCGGCCGCCGCCGCCGCCGCUCGGCCCCGCU